GCAAAACGCGAAGAACCUUACCAGGUCUUGACAUCCCGGUGACCACUAUGGAGACAUAGUUUCCCCUUCGGGGGCAACGGUGACAGGUGGUGCAUGGUUGUCGUCAGCUCGUGUCGUGAGAUGUUGGGUUAAGUCCCGCAACGAGCGCAACCCUUAUUCUUAGUUGCCAUCAUUCAGUUGGGCACUCUAAGGAGACUGCCGGUGAUAAACCGGAGGAAGGUGGGGAUGACGUCAAAUCAUCAUGCCCCUUAUGACCUGGGCUACACACGUGCUACAAUGGACGGUACAAACGGUUGCCAACCCGCGAGGGGGAGCUAAUCCGAUAAAACCGUUCUCAGUUCGGAUUGUAGGCUGCAACUCGCCUACACGAAGCCGGAAUCGCUAGUAAUCGCGGAUCAGCAUGCCGCGGUGAAUACGUUCCCGGGUCUUGUACACACC
Molecule: ribosomal RNA, 438 nt
Filed under: uncultured bacterium
Lineage: Bacteria
Description: bacterial SSU rRNA
Rfam family: Bacterial small subunit ribosomal RNA
Source: RNAcentral